This is a long non-coding RNA of Etheostoma spectabile (orangethroat darter), 188 nucleotides long. RefSeq lists it as uncharacterized. NCBI's taxonomy places the organism in Eukaryota, Metazoa, Chordata, Actinopteri, Perciformes, Percidae. The transcript has 3 exons. The record is from RefSeq and is a predicted model, not a curated record.
UUUCGAGGUUCCUCUUUUUCUCUGAUUGCUACUGAUUGUGUUGAUUUCACUUCAUUGUACUUCACACCGUCUGCAAUCAAGCACAACGGUGACUAUACAGCUCGCUCCGAUUGGACCUUGGACCCACAUUCUUCUUUUGACUUUCUUCCAGUACAACAGCCAUGGGAGUAAUCUUCAGCUUUCUCAGU